Molecule: ribosomal RNA, 255 nt
Filed under: uncultured bacterium
Lineage: Bacteria
Description: partial 16S ribosomal RNA
Rfam family: Bacterial small subunit ribosomal RNA
Source: RNAcentral
UACGAAGGGGGCUAGCGUUGCUCGGAAUGACCGGGCGUAAAGGGCGCGUAGGCGGUUUGUACAGUCAGAUGUGAAAUUCCUGGGCUCAACCUGGGGGCUGCAUUUGAUACGUAUGGACUGGAGUGAGGAAGAGGGUCGUGGAAUUCCCAGUGUAGAGGUGAAAUUCGUAGAUAUUCGGAAGAACACCAGUGGCGAAGGCGACUUACUGGACACAUAUUGACGCUGAGGUGCGAAAAGCGUGGGGAGCAAACAGGG